RNAcentral lists this ribosomal RNA (410 nucleotides) under uncultured microorganism. Its description in RNAcentral is "bacterial SSU rRNA". It matches the Rfam family "Bacterial small subunit ribosomal RNA", at positions 509 to 917 of the family's 1533-position model. The record is from RNAcentral.
CAGCCGCCGCGGUAAUACGUAGGGUGCGAGCGUUAAUCGGAUUUACUGGGCGUAAAGCGUGCGCAGGCGGUCCGUUAAGACAGGUGUGAAAUCCCUGGGCUCAACCUAGGAAUUGCGCUUGUGACUGGCGGGCUCGAGUACGGUAGAGGGGGGUGGAAUUCCUGGUGUAGCAGUGAAAUGCGUAGAGCUCAGGAGGAACACCGAUGGCGAAGGCAGCCCCCUGGGCCUGUACUGACGCUCAUGCACGAAAGCGUGGGGAGCAAACAGGAUUAGAUACCCUGGUAGUCCACGCCCUAAACGAUGGGUACUAGCCGUUUGGUGCGCGAUAGCGCUGAGUGGCGAAGCUAACGCGUGAAGUACCCCGCCUGGGGAGUACGGCCGCAAGGUUGAAACUUAAAGGAAUUGGCGGG